This 3612-nucleotide long non-coding RNA is filed under the name Medicago truncatula (barrel medic). RNAcentral describes it as "lncRNA gene35085". Lineage: Eukaryota; Viridiplantae; Streptophyta; Magnoliopsida; Fabales; Fabaceae. The record is from RNAcentral.
CUGUGCGCAUAUUAUUAUAUGAUUAUUAAACUUCUAAACAUUAGAGAAAAGAAACCAACAAAUGCAAUGUGUUUAUAUGUUUGUAUUGUGCAUAGUAAUUAAAGAGACCUAAGUGUGUGUGCUAUGGAAUACAUCUUAUAGGGAAGUCUCUAUAAUUGGAGGACCCAAAUAUUCAAUCCCAUCCAUUUGAGAGUUUUCUGGCAUCUCUAUUUCUUCCAACCAUCCAUAACUUUCAUUUUCUUCUUUCAACUCAGCAAUUUCUCCAUCUGCAAUAUUUGAAAUCAUUGAUUGUAAGAGACUCAAUAAUAAAAAUAAAAUGAUAUCGUUAAUAAGUGCAUCUGGGAUACUCUUUAAGGAUGUCAAAUUACAAAAUUAUUCCUAAAAAAAUUCAAAAUAGAGACUAUUUAUACAAACUGAUGAAGGAAUAAAAUUUUCAUUAAAAUUUUAUCAUGAUUAAACUUGAAGACUUAUGAUUUUAUCCGGAGUAAAAACAUAUUUAACCAUAAAAAUAAUACUAUACAAAAGUGUUCAUUUUUUAUUUUCACUUCUAUGUUUUUUUUUUUUAAAACUCGGUAUCCGAUCCAAGAAUCGACUAAUCCGAGAGGACCAAUCCCACCGUCCACUUGUGAGGGCCCCGUUUAAAGCCAGAGCAAGCUCUGUAUGGACUUAGCCCACCGAAAUUGACACUAGAAGAAAUCGAACCUAAGACCUCUGGAAGAGCAAACUCCAAAAUCUCAAACCAACCACUAGGUCAACCCCAGGUGGGUUCACUUCACUCCUAUGUUUUAAUGUAGAGUUGUUUAACUCACUUUUAGUGGGCCCUAUCAUAUUACAUGAACAUUAAGCAUUUUAUCAAUCUUGCAAGUUGCAAAUCCAUAAACUAUAUAUGUAUAACGGUCUAAAAAUAAAGUGUUGCUUACUAGGAAAAGCAGUGUAAAGGUGAUCUCUAUAGUAAGAACAAUCUCUGCCAUCAUCUUUGGAAUAAGGAGGUCCAAUGACAUCAAGAACAGCACAUGGAGUUAUGGCUGUGAAUUCAUGGAUAUUGCCUCCAGUUUUUGGAUACAACACUGAAGUGUCACAUGGUGAUGUGAACACUUUAUUUGCUUUUAACUUUGCCAACCUCACUGCAAAAAAUACCAUGUGUACAAGAUUAAAUUUCUAUUAACUAUAAACGUUGUGAGAAAUGCUAUCAACGUACUUUGUACUUGUUAUUUAUUAUUGGGUGAAAUUUAUGUAUGUCUGACUAAAUAAAAAGUUGGGCCCACCAAAUAGGAUGUGUAUUCUUUGUUGUUAAGAAAUCACACAUUCGAUACAAUCAUGUGAUCUAAAUGUUCUAGGCAAAUAUUAGACGAACUGAAUUUCAGUAAUAAAGUUUAAAAUGUAAAGUUGGAGAUGAAUUUUAAUUUAUGGAUCCAACUUUCUUGUUGUUUGGGAUUCACACAUUUGGUGCGGUUACCUCGUCUGAAUUUCGAAUCAAGAUCAGACGGUCCAUGUUCUAAAUUUCAGCAAUCAAGUCUAAAAAUACAAAGUCAAAACUUGAGAUGUUCAAUCUUGAUUUGAUAGUCUAAAUCAACGACUACAAAAUUGCAUGAAAACUAGAAAGUCCGUUCUACCCAAUAAUAAGACCGGUCAAGGGUUUUAAAUUUUGUCCACAACCGCAAUUGUGGCUGCAGUAUAACUUUUUCAAAGGUUUUUGCAACGACAUCGCAACCUCAAGUGAGGCUGCAUCGGUCAAACUUGCCUACAUUUUACUGUAAUAUAAAGGUUUGCAGCAUAACCGCUAUCAUAAUUUAAACCAUGGGCAAGUGUUACAAAGAAUGUUUUAUAGAUAUACUACUAAAACACCUCAUCCCAUGAAUUGAGAUUAAUUUAAUUUGGUGAUAUGAAUAAUAUUUGAAUACAUACAUUGAGAUGGUUGCUUCAACAAAUUGUGAGAGACAUCAGGAUCAACCCAAUCAUAAGACUUAAUGUGCAUUUGUCCCAACAAAAGCUUACUGAAAACAGUCAUUCCUGGGUGGUUAUGAAGAGGAAUGACUCCUUUUGAAGGUAGGAAAAAAAUACAUAGCUGCAUGUACAAAAAAAUACACUUAAAUUAAUUACAUAUAUAUUCUAGCUAGUAAUUGCAUUGGUGACAAACGAUUAAAAUAAGAGAUUGCAAGACUUACUGAAAAAUUAUCACAUUUGUAUAUGGUUGUAUAUGUGACCCUUGGAUUCUCUCUGAAAAUGCUUUCAGGUUUGAAGAACUGCAAAUCUUUACUUAGUCCAACAUCUUCUGGCUUCAUGUUGUCUGGUUAUUAAAAAAAAUAUAAUUAAGAACAAUACUUGUGGUUUGUUUUUUAACCAUCGAGCUUCAAAGAAAAGAGACCAUGAUAAUUCAGAGUUCGGCCGAGUGAUAAGUCUGACAAAUAAUAAUUUAAAAGGAAUAUCUUGUGAAAGAUAAAAGGUGACUAUCUUGUGUUAGAGAUUUGAAACAUAUGUUAUUUUAAUUUUUAAAUGGGAACUAGAGAAAGAACGUAUCAAUCAGUCAAAUACUCAACUUAACUAUAAUAAAUUAUGCAUUAACCAAGCAAAUUAUAAAUAAAUAAACAGCUUGAUGUAAAGAAAAUGAAAUGAACCCUUGAUGAAGUGCAAAAGCUAAAAUAGAAGUAACAUCUUACCAACAAUUUGAAAGGACAAACACACUCACAUUUCAUCUUAAGAUAACAAAUUGAUUGGUAGCUUACUACUUUGUAACUUCUUCAUCCUGUUAUAUUUAUAAGAAAAAAACAAUUGUUUGGGUUCACUGAAUAACUAAUAUAUUUAGUAUCAUUUAUAAAUCAAAUAUAUCAGAUAUUCAAUGAACCAAAAAAGUUGUGUUUUGCUUAUAAUAUAAAUAUGAUUUAAGAGAGUAUAUUUAUAUACAUUAAACAAUUCACAUUCACAACAUGCAAAUGAAGAUAAUCACGAAUUUCAAAGACAUGACACAAAAAUCUGUAAACUAACAUAUAAUUGGACACAAAAUCUAACAACAAAUCAACUUGCACAUUUUUGUAACCCAAUUAAACACUCAAUUUAAAACUUAUAAAAAAAUUCAAAAGAAAUUGAUCAUACCAAGAAUGUGACAUAGUUUGUGAACAUUUUGUGGUGAAGGGACAGUGUUAGGUCCUUUGAAUGUUUCCUUGCAUGAGACAAAUAAUUUCUGAAGUGCCUUAUUAGACAUUGGCUUCUUAACCUUGUUACUAUGAUAAGGUUUCCUCUUUUUGACAAUGACCCUUUUCAUAUAACCAACUUUUUCAACAUUUCUAACUCUUUCUUCAUUUUUUUCUACUAAACUACCCUCCAUUUUCAUAGAUAUACCUCCAAUAUCUUCCUUCAUAUGUUAACACCAAAUCUUCUAUGUCACCACUCAAUUUAUAAGCCCUUUUCAACUUUCAAAAACUUACUUAAAAGGGAAACUUUCAAAUGUUUUUUUUCUCUCUCUUUUUUGUGGUUGUGAUCUUUAAUAAAUUGAGUAGAUUGUGUCAAAAUGAAAGAGGUUCAUUGAUAUUUUGAGUAAGAGUUGUAAAAGUGAAAAAUAAAAAGUAAUAUUCAUGAAGAGAGAAUGAGCAUUUUGGAGAUGAAAUGCUAGAGAAG